Molecule: ribosomal RNA, 517 nt
Filed under: uncultured bacterium
Lineage: Bacteria
Description: bacterial SSU rRNA
Rfam family: Bacterial small subunit ribosomal RNA
Source: RNAcentral
GACGAACGCUGGCGGCGUGGAUUAGGCAUGCAAGUCGAACGGUAUCAUCCUUUCGGGGGUGAGAGAGUGGCGAACUGGUGAGUAACACGUAGGUUAUCUACCCUCAAGACGGGGACAACCCAGGGAAACUUGGGCUAAUACCGGAUGUGAGCAACUUUUAGUUGUUUGAAAGGUGGCGUAAGCUGUCGCUUGGGGAUGAGCCUGCGUCCUAUUAGUUAGUUGGUGAGGUAACGGCUCACCUAGGCAAUGAUAGGUAGGCGGCCUUAACGGGUGGUCGCCCACACUGGGAUUGAGAUACGGCCCAGACUCCUACGGGAGGCAGCAGUCGAGAAUAGUCUACAAAUGGUCGGAAGACUGAUAGUGCGACGCCGCGUGAACGAUGAAUCCCUUCGGGUGUAAAAGUUCUUUUUAAUUAUGUGAGCAGUGCUUCUUAUAUUAAACAGUAAUGGGGAGAGAGAUUAAUUAGCUAUAUGAAUAAAGCAACGGCUAAACUCCGUCGCCAGCAGCCGCGGUAAUA